This 224-nucleotide long non-coding RNA is filed under the name Gossypium barbadense (sea-island cotton). RNAcentral describes it as "long non-coding RNA (GBAR_LNC010434)". The record is from RNAcentral. Lineage: Eukaryota; Viridiplantae; Streptophyta; Magnoliopsida; Malvales; Malvaceae.
AGGCUAGUUGGAUCUAGUUGCAAUGAUCUCAAAAAUAUAAAAAUUAUUAAAAAUAGGACGAAAAUCACUUACCGAUUGAAUUUUAAAGCUUGGCCAAACCCUAGCUCUAUUUUCAUGGAAGCUUUCAGUUGUAAUUGGGAAAGAAGAUGAUAACCGCACCUUUUUUUUCUUAUGUUUUUAAUUUAAUUUAAUUUAAUUUAAUCCAUCAAAUUACCAUAUUACCC